This 253-nucleotide ribosomal RNA is filed under the name uncultured bacterium. RNAcentral's name for it is "partial 16S ribosomal RNA". It matches the Rfam family "Bacterial small subunit ribosomal RNA", at positions 524 to 776 of the family's 1533-position model. The record is from RNAcentral.
UACGUAGGGUGCAAGCGUUAUCCGGAAUUAUUGGGCGUAAAGCGUCCGCAGGUGGCUGUUCAAGUCUGCUGUCAAAGACCGGGGCUUAACUUCGGAAAGGCAGUGGAAACUGAACAGCUAGAGUAUGGUAGGGGCAGAGGGAAUUCCUGGUGUAGCGGUGAAAUGCGUAGAGAUCAGGAAGAACAUCGGUGGCGAAGGCGAUCUGCUGGACCAUAACUGACACUCAGGGACGAAAGCUAGGGGAGCGAGUAGG